RNAcentral lists this small RNA (27 nucleotides) under Bombyx mori (domestic silkworm). Its description in RNAcentral is "ovarian small RNA-27563". Lineage: Eukaryota; Metazoa; Arthropoda; Insecta; Lepidoptera; Bombycidae. The record is from RNAcentral.
UCCGGGUUGAGGGCUAGUCGCGGACUC